RNAcentral lists this ribosomal RNA (1377 nucleotides) under Microbacterium sp. Its description in RNAcentral is "bacterial SSU rRNA". It matches the Rfam family "Bacterial small subunit ribosomal RNA". The record is from RNAcentral. Lineage: Bacteria; Bacillati; Actinomycetota; Actinomycetes; Micrococcales; Microbacteriaceae.
UGCAAGUCGAACGGUGAAGCCAAGCUUGCUUGGUGGAUCAGUGGCGAACGGGUGAGUAACACGUGAGCAACCUGCCCUGGACUCUGGGAUAAGCGCUGGAAACGGCGUCUAAUACUGGAUAUGAGACGUGAUCGCAUGGUCGUGUUUGGAAAGAUUUUUCGGUCUGGGAUGGGCUCGCGGCCUAUCAGCUUGUUGGUGAGGUAAUGGCUCACCAAGGCGUCGACGGGUAGCCGGCCUGAGAGGGUGACCGGCCACACUGGGACUGAGACACGGCCCAGACUCCUACGGGAGGCAGCAGUGGGGAAUAUUGCACAAUGGGCGGAAGCCUGAUGCAGCAACGCCGCGUGAGGGAUGACGGCCUUCGGGUUGUAAACCUCUUUUAGCAGGGAAGAAGCGAAAGUGACGGUACCUGCAGAAAAAGCGCCGGCUAACUACGUGCCAGCAGCCGCGGUAAUACGUAGGGCGCAAGCGUUAUCCGGAAUUAUUGGGCGUAAAGAGCUCGUAGGCGGUUUGUCGCGUCUGCUGUGAAAUCCCGAGGCUCAACCUCGGGCCUGCAGUGGGUACGGGCAGACUAGAGUGCGGUAGGGGAGAUUGGAAUUCCUGGUGUAGCGGUGGAAUGCGCAGAUAUCAGGAGGAACACCGAUGGCGAAGGCAGAUCUCUGGGCCGUAACUGACGCUGAGGAGCGAAAGGGUGGGGAGCAAACAGGCUUAGAUACCCUGGUAGUCCACCCCGUAAACGUUGGGAACUAGUUGUGGGGACCAUUCCACGGUUUCCGUGACGCAGCUAACGCAUUAAGUUCCCCGCCUGGGGAGUACGGCCGCAAGGCUAAAACUCAAAGGAAUUGACGGGGACCCGCACAAGCGGCGGAGCAUGCGGAUUAAUUCGAUGCAACGCGAAGAACCUUACCAAGGCUUGACAUAUACGAGAACGGGCCAGAAAUGGUCAACUCUUUGGACACUCGUAAACAGGUGGUGCAUGGUUGUCGUCAGCUCGUGUCGUGAGAUGUUGGGUUAAGUCCCGCAACGAGCGCAACCCUCGUUCUAUGUUGCCAGCACGUAAUGGUGGGAACUCAUGGGAUACUGCCGGGGUCAACUCGGAGGAAGGUGGGGAUGACGUCAAAUCAUCAUGCCCCUUAUGUCUUGGGCUUCACGCAUGCUACAAUGGCCGGUACAAAGGGCUGCAAUACCGUAAGGUGGAGCGAAUCCCAAAAAGCCGGUCCCAGUUCGGAUUGAGGUCUGCAACUCGACCUCAUGAAGUCGGAGUCGCUAGUAAUCGCAGAUCAGCAACGCUGCGGUGAAUACGUUCCCGGGUCUUGUACACACCGCCCGUCAAGUCAUGAAAGUCGGUAACACCUGAAGCCGGUGGCCCAACCCUUG